AAAAAUCUGAUGACAAUCCAAUGUUCUUUCUUUAUGCAAGGGCUCUUUUUGCCUGGAUACCCUUUAUUUUUCUUUAAAGUAAUUUUACUGGACUAUAUCUUGGUCAAUCGAGGUCAAUGUUGUCAGGAUCCUGGAAAUCCUCGCGUUGGUGGCUCUGGACAGCUCACCCUGAAAUAUAAAGCCAGAUCUUAAUGACUGCAAGAUGUACAGGAGAAGCUGAGGGCACCCAGCCUGAUUUCACACAGCAGUUCCAGCUUGGAGGGAUAAUUGGAAAGAUUAUCACCAGGAAAUUGUUUACAGGACAAGCAAGCUCCAGACAUAGCCAUCACCACCCCCAGCUCCUGCUGGUAAAGCACACUGUUGGUGAUUUGGAGGCUGGAUUAAAAAGAAGCUCCUGGCAGGGGAGAAAUGGUCCCAGGAAGAGCUGAUGAUCUCAGGCUUAGGUAAGAAGAUGUACGGACCCACGUGAUAACAUAGAUGUCUUUUGUUCUUCCUGCCAAUCAACAUCGCAAGAAGAUGUUAAAGCCAUAAUGCAGACCAUUCCCUUUAAUUCUCCCUGUACUGUCUAGUACUGACCUUGAACUAGCUCAAAAAUGAGCAGAUGGGUCCUCCCCAGUGCUGUGAGGAGCAUGCAGAACCAGCACAGGGCAAGCUCCUAAGCUGGUAACAAGGAUGCCAAUGCCAAUGGUGCCAUGAGCCCCAAAUAAAGAAGCUUUCUGUGAAGACAAGGAACACUAUCAGUCACCCAGUCUCUCUGCCCCUUCCAUGUGCCCUCAGCAGACUGUUCCUCACAGCCCCCUGAAGACCCAAUUCCUGCCCUGCUGGGUUGUAAGGUUGCAGCUGGGCCAGGCACCGCCUGGGAGAGACCUGACCCGAGUGGAAUAGGGCAGCAGGGGAGCGAGAUGCUCGGGAGCUGGUGCAGGCUGGGGGUCAGGGAGGGGUAGAAUCAAGGACAGAGAAAUAAAGAAGAGAGGAGAAAGAGAAGGAAAGGGGAGGGAAGAGAGAAUCAAAUCUAGGAAAAGCUAGAUACAAAGGUCAAACAAUGUCAUCAGACUCUGGCCUCUCUCUUGGUCCAUCCGUGUGGAUCCCCUUCUCCAGCAACCUAGGUAGUUUUGGGUUCCAGAGCCACACAAAGGAGAGACAGUCUCCAGCAAUCCCAGCUGCAGUUUCGGGACUCACUCGAAUUGGCUCUCAGGUCACAUGCCCACAUGCCCAAACCAAUCACUGGGGCCCUAAGUCAGUUUGGCGUAGGUCCAGAGCCCCACGCCCAACCCUCCUGGAGUGAAGACAAUCAGGGCGUUUGCCAGGAGAAAGGGGAAUGACUGCUGGGAAGAUAAAUGCUCCCUUAGAGUUUGCUGAACAGUCAAAACUUCCUGAUCCCUUCCUCGUGCAAAAGGGGAGAUCAGGCUGAGAGAGGAAAGAGGCGCCUGUACUUGCAGUUUGUCAGGGGUGUUAUGGGCUGAAUGUUCGUGUCCCCCGCCCCAAAUCCACAUGUGAAGCCCUACCCCCUAAUGUGAUGGUAUUAGGAAUGGGGCUUUUGUGGGGGAGGUGGUAAUUAGGUUCAGAUGAAGUCAUGAGGGGGAAGCCCCCAUGAUGGGAUUAGUGUUCUGGCCGGAAGAGGAGAAGAACAGAGUCCUGUCUCUGCCAUGUGAGGACACAGAAAGAAGGCAGCCCUCUGCAAACCAAGAAGCGAGUCCUCCCCAGACACUGAUCUGCCAGCACCUUGACCUUGGACUUGCCAGCAUCCAGAACUGUGAGAAAUAAAUGUUUGCUAUUAUAGCCCCCUGGACUAGGGUAUUUGUUUGGUGAUAGCAGCCCAAGCACACUGAGACAGUGACAAAGUCUGGGCAUGGUUCUUGGCCUUACCCUCUGGCAACUGCCUCCUGAGGGGCAAGGCCGGAGAAGCCAGACCCCGAGGGAGUUGAUGGGGUUCUAAGGCCACCAGGGAAGAUUUCCAGAGUGGGUGGGGGGAUUGUGGAGGUCUUGGAGCAAGGGCUCAAAGUGUGGGCAGAGUCUCUCGGAGGAGCAGGGAGGAGGCCAUGGAACAGUUCUCCCUUUGAGGACCCAACAGUCGGGUGGGGGAGUAAGACAGGUGGAUGGUGGUUGCCACAGAAUGUGAUCAGGACAUUGUAGGAGAAAGCACCGUAGGGGAGGGUGGGGGUCCAAGCACAGCCUCUUGGCCAGAGUGGGGAGGUGGUGGAGGUUUCCUGGUGGCAGUGAUGUUUGAGAUGAAUUUUGCAAGUUGAGCUAAGAAGAGAGAGAAGGCCUUUUGUGGUGAUGAAAUCAUGGACAAAAACACAGAAGCACAAUAGCUUGGGAUACAGUCGUAGAACAGAAAUAACGGGAUGUGCCAAAGAGAUGUAGGUGAUGAGGCUGGGAUGUCAGCAGGCUCAGAUGUUGACCAGAGCCCCGACAUUAUUCCUUCACUCUGGGGGCACGGGGACAGAGGAGGGCAGGGGAGGAUUGUAAGAUGGGCGGUGGCCAUUCAUAAAUAUGCAAGUGGCCUUGAUCUUGGGAGGGCUGGGGGUGGCACAAGGGUAUAAAUGAGGACUUCUGGUGAGAGGGGGCAGGGGCCACUCAACUCAAACCAUCUUGGCCCAAAGCGCUGUUUGGGAAGAAUCUUGCAGCUACUCACACUAUCAGUCCAAACUGUGUGAAACAUCUGUGGGGAGGGGACCGUUGUAACUUGGCUUUUUCUUUCUGCAAGACAGUUGGGCAAUAUGAACUAAAGCCUAAAACCUAGAAAUUCCACUUCUGGGAAUUUUCCCUAAGAAAAGCAGUAAAGAUGAGGGCAAAGAUUUAGCUUCGAGGAUGUUCAUUGCAACACUGUUUAUAGGGAAAUAACUGGAAAUGAUCCAAAUGUCCAACACCAAGAGCUGCCCUAUCGAGUGACUGGAAGUCUGACGAUGGGCUGUGCUUUGGUCAUUUGCUCUGCUGCUGUGGUCAGAAUUGACAAUUUCCAGAUGCCUGUCCCUGGGCCAAGGCGGCUCUGUGAAAAGUGGCUGCUGGUGGAUGGCAAAAUCAGAAACACGGAGACAACAGCAAGAUGUCCAUCAAACUUUGUUUUUUCUGUAACAUUGUCUCCUCUCUACCUCUUUGGCUUGAGGAUGAUAAUGAACGUUCACUUUUUUCUUUUUUCUAAACUUCACCGAAAGUCUAAUUAACAGGGACAUAAACAAAUGGGGGCUUAUUUUUUUCACACUAAAAGAAGUCUGGAGAUAGAGGCCACUGGGCAAGUGUCAGUGCUCUCACAGUGCGAAGCAGGGAGGAGUCUCUGUGAUUCUCUCGCGCUUCGCUUCACGCUCCCGAGAAGGCUGCCUCUGGUCUUGGUAGGAAGCGUAAGGAUGAGAUACUACCAAUGACAUUUUCCCUUUUACAGGAAAGCAAAAGCUUACCUAAACAUUUCCUGAGGACCACUUCUGUCUUAUUGGCUAAACUAGGUCAUGGGACUGCCCUUAGCUGCAAGGGAAAUACGAAAUCUGCCAAAAGGAAAUGGGGUUACCGUGUUGAUGAAUUGCCUGGGACUGAAUACAUGACCCCUUCAAACAAAACCAAGAAGGAAGGGGUGGGGGGCAGGCUAGAAGUAAUAAGAGGGCAGCUCAGCCAUGCCUGCCACAUUUGAUGGGAAGAGAGUUGGCAGCCCUAGAUCCGUGCCGCCUCGUUUUCGGAAAGUGGAAUUUACUGGUCCUCGAAAUGCUGAACACUGGGAACCUUUGGAACAAAGGACUGGUUUUCAAACCAGAUUCCUUUGUGGCCCGGAGUUACUUAGGGGCUGCUGUUAGGGCAAGAACAUGGCAAGAAGGGGUGAAAGUAGCUCUACAUCUUCCUUCAACCCAAGAGCUGCCAUUUUAUCUGAGCAUAAUACAAGCAUCCAUGUAAAGUUCCACUUGGUGUACAUGUGUCUACAUGUGUUUAUCUGUACAUAUGUAUGUAUAUGUAAAAAUGUGUGUUUAUCUUUAUGCAUGUAUAUAUAAGCAUUUAGAUAGAUGGAUGGAUAGGUUGAUUGAUUGAUUGAUUGAUAGAUCUAGAAAGAUACAUAGCAAUGGUAUGAUCUUAAGAGGGCUGGAGGUGGCAGACUGGUGACCACUAGAGCCCAAGUCAGUGUUUAAAAUCUCUUUGACUUUAUGGGGCGCCUGCGUGGCUUAAGCGUCCGCCUUCGGCUUGGGUCAUGGUCCCAGGGUCCUGGGAUCGAGCCCCACAUCGGGCUCCCUGCU
Molecule: long non-coding RNA, 4214 nt
Organism: Zalophus californianus (California sea lion)
Lineage: Eukaryota; Metazoa; Chordata; Mammalia; Carnivora; Otariidae
Exons: 3
Source: RefSeq, a predicted model, not a curated record